This 274-nucleotide ribosomal RNA is filed under the name uncultured bacterium. Its description in RNAcentral is "partial 16S ribosomal RNA". It matches the Rfam family "Bacterial small subunit ribosomal RNA", at positions 523 to 796 of the family's 1533-position model. The record is from RNAcentral.
ACACGGAGGGUGCAAGCGUUAAUCGGAAUUACUGGGCGUAAAGCGUACGUAGGCGGUUAGUUAAGUUAGAUGUGAAAGCCCCGGGCUUAACCUGGGAACUGCAUUUAAAACUGGCUAACUAGAGUUAAGUAGAGGGGAGUGGAAUUUCAGGUGUAGCGGUGAAAUGCGUAGAGAUCUGAAGGAACACCAGUGGCGAAGGCGACUCCCUGGACUUGAACUGACGCUGAGGUACGAAAGCGUGGGUAGCAAACGGGAUUAGAAACCCUAGUAGUCC